Molecule: small nucleolar RNA, 138 nt
Organism: Ornithorhynchus anatinus (platypus)
Lineage: Eukaryota; Metazoa; Chordata; Mammalia; Monotremata; Ornithorhynchidae
Source: RefSeq, a predicted model, not a curated record
CACCUCUCAGAGUCGCACCUGGAGAGUUUCCGGUUCUCUAUCAGUCUCGACUAUGGGAGGGAGAGUCAAGCAGAGGCCUGUCCAUUCCAUUCCUAGCUUGACCAGUGGCUAGUGAGUGGAAGGCCAUCUGCUACAAGU